GAAUAUUGGACAAUGGGGGCAACCCUGAUCCAGCCAUGCCGCGUGUGUGAAGAAGGCCUUUUGGUUGUAAAGCACUUUAAGCAGUGAAGAAGACUCCAUGGUUAAUACGCAUGGACGAUGACAUGAGCUGCAGAAUAAGCAACGGCUAACUCUGUGCAAGCAGCCGAGGUAAUACAGAGGGUGCAAGCGUUAAUCGGAAUUACUGUGCGUAAAGCGAGCGUAGGUGGCUUGAUAAGGCAGAUGUGAAAUCCCCGGGCUUAACCUGGGAACUGCAUCUGAUACUGUUAGGCUAGAAUAGGUGUGAGGAAGGUAGGAUUCCAGGUGUAGGGGUGAAAUGCGUAGAGAUCUGGAGGAAUACCGAUGGCGAAGGCAGCCUUCUGGCAUCAUAUUGACACUGAGGUUCGAAAGCGUGGGUAGCAAAC
RNAcentral lists this ribosomal RNA (422 nucleotides) under uncultured bacterium. Its description in RNAcentral is "partial 16S ribosomal RNA". It matches the Rfam family "Bacterial small subunit ribosomal RNA", at positions 359 to 773 of the family's 1533-position model. The record is from RNAcentral.